CGCGUAGGCGGUCUUUUAAGUCGAACGUGAAAUCCCCGGGCUCAACCCGGGAACUGCGUCCGAGACUGGAAGGCUCGAAUCCGGGAGAGGGAUGUGGAAUUCCAGGUGUAGCGGUGAAAUGCGUAGAUAUCUGGAGGAACAUCGGUGGCGAAGGCGGCAUCCUGGACCGGUAUUGACGCUGAGGCGCGAAAGCCAGGGAGGCAAAACG
RNAcentral lists this ribosomal RNA (208 nucleotides) under uncultured bacterium. RNAcentral's name for it is "partial 16S ribosomal RNA". It matches the Rfam family "Bacterial small subunit ribosomal RNA", at positions 568 to 775 of the family's 1533-position model. The record is from RNAcentral.